Molecule: ribosomal RNA, 509 nt
Filed under: Acrodictys elaeidicola
Lineage: Eukaryota; Fungi; Ascomycota; Sordariomycetes
Description: eukaryotic LSU rRNA
Rfam family: Eukaryotic large subunit ribosomal RNA
Source: RNAcentral
UCUGGCCCCCCGGCCCGAGUUGUAAUUUGUAGAGGAUGCUUUUGGCGCGGCGCCUUCUGAGUUCCCUGGAACGGGACGCCAUAGAGGGUGAGAGCCCCGUAGAGUUGGACGCCUAGCCUCUGUAAAGCUCCUUCGACGAGUCGAGUAGUUUGGGAAUGCUGCUCAAAAUGGGAGGUAAAUUUCUUCUAAAGCUAAAUACCGGCUGGAGACCGAUAGCGCACAAGUAGAGUGAUCGAAAGAUGAAAAGCACUUUGAAAAGAGGGUUAAACAGCACGUGAAAUUGUUGAAAGGGAAGCGCUCGUGACCAGACUUGCGCCCUGCCAAUCAUCCGGCGUUCUCGCCGGUGCACUUGGCUGGGCCCAGGCCAGCAUCGGUUUCCCCAGGGGGAGAAAAGCGCCGGGAACGUAGCUCCCCCGGGAGUGUUAUAGCCCGGCGCACAAUGCCUCUGGGGGGACCGAGGACCGCGCAUCGCAAGGAUGCUGGCGUAAUGGUCACCAGCGACCCGUCUU